RNAcentral lists this long non-coding RNA (799 nucleotides) under Scleropages formosus (Asian bonytongue). Its description in RNAcentral is "lncRNA (ENSSFOG00015026460.1)". Lineage: Eukaryota; Metazoa; Chordata; Actinopteri; Osteoglossiformes; Osteoglossidae. The record is from RNAcentral.
CCGUUGGUCUGCAGAGCGACACAUGAGGGGACCUGGUAAUUCGGUAGAAGUCCGUGUGAUUGUGCUUCAAGUUCAGGACCUCAAGAAGGAUGUGGCUUUUUGCAACUACCAUGUUUUUUCAUUUUUCAGAACCGCUUGUCCCAUAGCUCCUGAGAUCAUUCAGGCACUCAAACCCCUCCACCACGUUAAGGUGGCGGUUCGAGGAGGGGCAUAUUGACAGCCUAUCUCAAUACUUCCUUUCGCCUGCUAAUUCAUUAUGAACUACCAUGUUGUUUGGUCUAAUUUAUGCUCUCAACCUGAAGUUCCCCACAAAGUUGUGCUACACUUUUGAGGUUCCAAGUUGUAUAGAAGAGUCUGAGAAGACAAAGUUAUUUUAUUAAGUAAAAUUAUUAGUGCUGUUAUGUUCUGUUUGUUUACAGAGACAUGCAGUUUAAUGUUUAUGCAGAAAUGUGAGGUGUAACUUGUGUUGCUUAUUGUCUUGUUAACAAAAUGUUUCUUAUGAUGUUUGUGGCCUUCAUGGUGGAAUAGUUAAUAUGUCAAGCUGUAAAAUGGUUGCGUAUGUCUACAUCAGCACAUUUUUCCCGUAUUUCCAGAUACAAGUUGCUUUUAAGUCAAACUUGCCAAUUGACCUGUUAAAGAGAUGUAAUUUAAACUAAGUUUUAAUAGACAUGAUCCUUAAGAGCUAAUCUCUGUAUUUCACAUUGCAGUGCAUUUAAGAGUAUUGUUCAUAUUGCUAUUAAAGGACUGAUGGAUCACUUAAUGAAAUAAAGCCUUUGAAUGUAAAUCUAUUUGUGUUAUU